AGUGAACGCUGGCGGUAGACCUAGCACAUGCAAGUCGAACGGCAGCACAGUAAGAGCUUGCUCUUACGGGUGGCGAGUGGCGGACGGGUGAGGAAUACAUCGGAAUCUACUUUUUCGUGGGGGAUAACGUAGGGAAACUUACGCUAAUACCGCAUACGACCUACGGGUGAAAGCAGGGGAUCUUCGGACCUUGCGCGAUUGAAUGAGCCGAUGUCGGAUUAGCUAGUUGGCGGGGUAAAGGCCCACCAAGGCGACGAUCCGUAGCUGGUCUGAGAGGAUGAUCAGCCACACUGGAACUGAGACACGGUCCAGACUCCUACGGGAGGCAGCAGUGGGGAAUAUUGGACAAUGGGCGCAAGCCUGAUCCAGCCAUACCGCGUGGGUGAAGAAGGCCUUCGGGUUGUAAAGCCCUUUUGUUGGGAAAGAAAAGCAGCAGGUUAAUACCCCGCUGUUCUGACGGUACCCAAAGAAUAAGCACCGGCUAACUUCGUG
This 492-nucleotide ribosomal RNA is filed under the name uncultured bacterium. Its description in RNAcentral is "partial 16S ribosomal RNA". It matches the Rfam family "Bacterial small subunit ribosomal RNA", at positions 29 to 507 of the family's 1533-position model. The record is from RNAcentral.